UUUCACAAUACAUAUGCUCUAUCCUUAUUUUAUGAAAAUAUAGAAUAAUUUUUUUCAUGAUAAAAUAGUUAAUAAUUUCAAAAGUAAGAAGUUUCGAGAUUAUUUACCUUUUUCUUUCUAGUCCUUCAAACUUUGAUAGAUGAAUUUAUUAAAUCUAUUUAAUAUAUCAAAAAUAUCAUUAAUUUUUAUUUAUUAAUUCAAUCAUAAAGAAAGAAGAUUG
RNAcentral lists this long non-coding RNA (220 nucleotides) under Elaeis guineensis (African oil palm). Its description in RNAcentral is "long non-coding RNA (EGUI_LNC000196)". The record is from RNAcentral. Lineage: Eukaryota; Viridiplantae; Streptophyta; Magnoliopsida; Arecales; Arecaceae.